This 497-nucleotide ribosomal RNA is filed under the name uncultured bacterium. RNAcentral's name for it is "partial 16S ribosomal RNA". It matches the Rfam family "Bacterial small subunit ribosomal RNA", at positions 28 to 507 of the family's 1533-position model. The record is from RNAcentral.
GAUGAACGCUGGCGGCGUGCCUAAUACAUGCAAGUCGAGCGAACAGACGAGGAGCUUGCUCCGCUGACGUUAGCGGCAGACGGGUGAGUAACACGUGGAUAACCUACCUAUAAGACUGGGAUAACUUCGGGAAACCGGAGCUAAUACCGGAUAAUAUAUUGAACCGCAUGGUUCAAUAGUGAAAGACGGUUUUGCUGUCACUUACAGAUGGAUCCGCGCCGCAUUAGCUAGUUGGUAAGGUAACGGCUUACCAAGGCAACGAUGCGUAGCCGACCUGAGAGGGUGAUCGGCCACACUGGAACUGAGACACGGUCCAGACUCCUACGGGAGGCAGCAGUAGGGAAUCUUCCGCAAUGGGCGAAAGCCUGACGGAGCAACGCCGCGUGAGUGAUGAAGGUCUUCGGAUCGUAAAACUCUGUUAUUAGGGAAGAACAAAUGUGUAAGUAACUAUGCACGUCUUGACGGUACCUAAUCAGAAAGCCACGGCUAACUACGUG